RNAcentral lists this ribosomal RNA (481 nucleotides) under uncultured bacterium. RNAcentral's name for it is "bacterial SSU rRNA". It matches the Rfam family "Bacterial small subunit ribosomal RNA", at positions 30 to 507 of the family's 1533-position model. The record is from RNAcentral.
UUGAACGCUGGCGGCAUGCUUUACACAUGCAAGUCGAACGGUAACAGGUCUUCGGAUGCUGACGAGUGGCGAACGGGUGAGUAAUGCAUCGGAACGUGCCCAGUCGUGGGGGAUAACGCAGCGAAAGCUGUGCUAAUACCGCAUACGAUCUAUGGAUGAAAGCGGGGGAUCGCAAGACCUCGCGCGAUUGGAGCGGCCGAUGUCAGAUUAGCUAGUUGGUGGGGUAAAGGCCCACCAAGGCGACGAUCUGUAGCUGGUCUGAGAGGAUGAUCAGCCACACUGGAACUGAGACACGGUCCAGACUCCUACGGGAGGCAGCAGUGGGGAAUAUUGGACAAUGGGCGCAAGCCUGAUCCAGCAAUGCCGCGUGCAGGAAGAAGGCCUUCGGGUUGUAAACUGCUUUUGUACGGAGCGAAAAGGCUUCCUCUAAUACAGGGGGUCCAUGACGGUACCGUAAGAAUAAGCACCGGCUAACUACGUG